AUGGAAGAGGAUAUACAAGGAUAUACUGACAUAACAGACUUGAGCGCAAGUAAUAUUACAGUCUAAUGGAUGCAUUGGGAGGUAUGUUACAUUUAGUGUCAGCUAGCCAAACUUCCCAGUUUUUUAGAAAGCUGGUCUUAGAGUUCCUA
Molecule: long non-coding RNA, 149 nt
Organism: Bufo bufo (common toad)
Lineage: Eukaryota; Metazoa; Chordata; Amphibia; Anura; Bufonidae
Exons: 3
Source: RefSeq, a predicted model, not a curated record